RNAcentral lists this ribosomal RNA (792 nucleotides) under uncultured archaeon. RNAcentral describes it as "bacterial SSU rRNA". It matches the Rfam family "Archaeal small subunit ribosomal RNA", at positions 85 to 879 of the family's 1478-position model. The record is from RNAcentral.
ACGGCUCAGUAACACGUGGACAACGUGCCCUAAAGUGGAGCAUAAUCUCGGGAAACUGAGGAUAAUUCUCCAUAGACCAUGAGAUCUGGAAUGACUUAUGGUUCAAAGUUCCGGCGCUUUAGGAUCGGUCUGCGGCCUAUCAGGUAGUAGUGGGUGUAACGUACCCCCUAGCCAGUUACGGGUAUGGGCCUUGAGAGAGGGAGCCCAGAGUUGGAUUCUGAGACACGAAUCCAGGCCCUACGGGGCGCAGCAGUCGCGAAAACUUCACAAUGGGCGAAAGCCCGAUGAGGGAAUUCCUAGUGCUAGCACAUUUGUGUUAGCUUUUCCUUAGCGUAGAUAACUAGGGGAAUAAGGGCUGGGUAAGACGGGUGCCAGCCGCCGCGGUAAUACCCGCAGCCCGAGUGGUGGUCGAUUUUAUUGAGUCUAAAACGUUCGUAGCCGGUCUGAUAAAUCCCUGGGUAAAUCGGGUGGCUUAACCAUCCGAAUUCCGGGGAGACUGUCAGGCUUGGGAUCGGGAGAGGUAUGAGGUACUUCAGGGGUAGGGGUAAAAUCCUGUAAUCCUUGGAGGACCACCGGUGGCGAAGGCGUCAUACUAGAACGAAUCCGACGGUGAGGGACGAAGCCCUAGGUCGCAAACGGGAUUAGAUACCCCGGUAGUCUAGGGUGUAAACGCUGCAGACUAGGUGUUGGAGGCCCUACGGGGGCACCCAGUGCCCGAGAGAAGUUGUUAAGUCUGCUACUUGGGGAGUACGUCCGCAAGGAUGAAACUUAAAGGAAUUGGCGGGGGAGCAC